This 329-nucleotide ribosomal RNA is filed under the name uncultured Oscillospiraceae bacterium. RNAcentral describes it as "bacterial SSU rRNA". It matches the Rfam family "Bacterial small subunit ribosomal RNA", at positions 28 to 339 of the family's 1533-position model. The record is from RNAcentral. Lineage: Bacteria; Bacillati; Bacillota; Clostridia; Eubacteriales; Oscillospiraceae.
GAUGAACGCUGGCGGCGUGCCUAACACAUGCAAGUCGAACGAAGCAUAUCUGACGGAGAUUCGUCGAAGCCGGAUAUGACUUAGUGGCGGACGGGUGAGUAAUGUAUGAGCAACCUGCCUUUCAGAGGGGGACAACAGUUGGAAACGACUGCUAAUACCGCAUAAUGUAUUUGGGUGGCAUCACCUGGAUACCAAAGGAGCAAUCCGCUGAAAGAUGGGCUCAUAUCUGAUUAGCUAGUUGGCAGGGUAACGGCCUACCAAAGCAACGAUCAGUAGCCGACUUGAGAGAGUGAUCGGCCACAUUGGGACUGAGACACGGCCCAGACUCC